RNAcentral lists this small nucleolar RNA (131 nucleotides) under Salvator merianae (Argentine black and white tegu). Its description in RNAcentral is "Small Cajal body specific RNA 8 (ENSSMRG00000007195.1)". It matches the Rfam family "Small Cajal body specific RNA 8". From Rfam's summary of the family: scaRNAs are a specific class of small nuclear RNAs which localise to the Cajal bodies and guide the modification of RNA polymerase II transcribed spliceosomal RNAs U1, U2, U4, U5 and U12. Lineage: Eukaryota; Metazoa; Chordata; Lepidosauria; Squamata; Teiidae. The record is from RNAcentral.
UGGGAGGCCGAUACUCAAAUAGAGANAAGCUCUGCUCUAGUUGUCACUAGUCCUCCCUAUAUUAAAGCUGCCUUUCGAUGACCGGGACGAACUGAGAGAAAUCGUAACGGACAGAUACGGGGCAUAUAAUU